GGUGUUUGUGGUUUGUUUUACUAUGUAAUAAACAGAUCAAGAGCAACUCAGACUAUCACUUCUGAAAUUCUGCUUUUAAAAAAAUUUCCAGUAAAUGGCUAGUUUUGUUAUUUAAAAACCAACGGAUACUGAGUUUUAAAAUUGCUGUGAUGCUGGUUGGUGCGUGUUCAUGUAUUAAAAUACGUAUGUAACCUUUAACGAACUGAUGCUCCUCAAAACUAAGUUUUCCUUCUUCAAAUAGAAUUUUGAUCACUGGUGUGGUCUCUCCACUGAAGAAGGCCACGUGUAAGUGGUGACAGCUCACUGGAUGUGAUGAUCUGAACAUAGAGUGUGUAGUUGUCCCAAUUCCAUUUUCCUGCCUGAAUGGUGUCCUCUCUGGAACGGAAUCACAUUGCAGUAAUUUUCAGAUAAAGGAAUAGAGCAGAAUGUGCUUCAGAGAUUGCUAAUUUGCAUGUAAAAGCAGACGGAGAUUCUUCUGGAUUCUUAAACAGUGAAAAGAAAAUGUCCAUUAUCUCUAGGUGACAAAACUUCUUUUGGGGGUGUCAUUAUUCUCUCACAACUAAAUUGUUAUUUAGAGCAUCUGAGCAGUGUCUCCUUUCAUUUGCAGUAGUAUCUGUAAUACAGAAGAAAAUCUUGAAAUGCUUGAACAUGCCUUUGAAAUACUUUGUUUUCUUUCUGUUGCUAAAUUUCCCAAUAUUGAUACAGGUAAUUUAUUCUUUUUUUUAAUUAUUCAGAAUUUUUGCAUAUCUACUAAUGGAUUGAAAGCACUGGGGUGUACUUCCAGCUGAAGUCUUUUUUCCACUUCUGUAUCUUUUUUAUUUUGAGAAUUUAGUUCUGUACCUCACAACUCAUUAGUCCUGCCCCUAACUCACAAUUUCAAAAUUUGCAUUAUUUUGAAAUUUGUUUUUGAUUGUCCUUGAACAGUUUUCCUAUGAUUUAUUUUCACUGGGAACUCCCCCCACCUCCCACUUCCCAAAUUGCCUCUCACAGUAUUUUCUUUGAAAUGUAUCCUUUGAGUGAUUGAAUUGCUAAUAUUUUCCCAUUAACUCUUAAAAAAAAGUAAUGCACAAGAUUUUAUUUUUGUCCAUGAUCAGAAUGAUUUAUUUGGUUAAGAAGAUAGUACAAGUUAAAGGUACAUUCAAGCUAGUGGCAUAUUCCAAAGAGCAGGCAAAGACAGUUGUUUGCAAGUGGGAAGUUUAAGCCAUGAUCUUAAAAGGAUAGAGUGGGUGCUUGUUACUUAAAGUAUACGAAUAAUUGAUUUUUCACUGUCUCUUUCUUGAUCUGUUUUUCAUGAGUUUGGCCACUUUAACCUUACUAACAGCUGUGGUAUUUCUUUCUUCUGUGUUAGUUAAAAUACUCCACCUGAUUUUUUUUUUAUUUCUUUCUCAUUUUCUAAUUCAAUUAUGAAAUAAUGUGAACAGUCAACCUUCUCUUGUUUUUCUCUAUUGAAUAAUGCUAUGUGGGGGUGGUUUGAAGACUUUCUUCUUCUCUUUCCUCUUUCUCCUAACAAUACCAAUUGUAACUCCCCCAAACUGGUUAGAUCUUUAGUCCACAUCUCAUUGAAAAUUACCCUUCCCAAUUAAGAAAUGUCUGCAUUCUUGAAGCCUUUCCUAUAUACAGCUCGACAGCAUUAGUCUGACUUAUUCUUUACUAACAAGGGGGAAGUCUCUGUAAUGUGGAAAGAAAUGAAAAGCUACCUUUGCAUAGUGUAUGUAAAUACCUUCUUUCUAAUGAUUGGAACUUUUUGCCUGGCUACCAGGGAACUCAUAGUUUUACCUGAGGUGGGAAGACAGUUAUUUUGAUCACUGAUAUUUUGAUCACUGAAAUAACCAGUUUCACAGUUAGCUUAUUAUUAUUACUCACUUACUUCCUCCAUACCAGGUACAGGGCUGAAUGCGUUAUACAUGAUUCACCUUGUUUAAAUCCUAUGAUAGUUGUGGGAAGCAUUAUCUCCAUUGUACAAAUGAGGACAUUGAGGUUUAGGUGAAAUGAUUUGUUCAAGGUCACUCAGUAAUUUGUUGAUACGAGGUUUUAACUGAGGUCCGUGUGACAGCCAAACCUGCCCUCUUAACCACUGUGUUAUGCUGAGCCUCUUGGUCCUGAUUUUGCAUUUCUAUUUUGAGUGUGAGGUUUGGUCAAAAAAUUGCCUCAAGGCUUGCUAAGUGGAUUUAAACAUAUACAUGGCCUUAAACCCAGUGCUUCUGUGAAGUUGUACCUAACAACAGUUGGUGAUCCUAAAUCUGAACAAUUCCGUUUCCAGUAUUUCCGUGUCCAGCAUCAAGGUUCACUUUGAAAAUGUUUUAUGCUAACACUGCCCUGUGCUACUGCAGUGGAUGACUCUCCAACUGUUUUCCUAAGAGCUAAAGUGUGUAGUCAUGUUUCACUCUUAGUUUCUUAUUGGUUUGUGUUGCAAGAGUGACCCAAACCCAGUUUUGUGUUUUAGUCUUGAUUUUAUUUACAUCCUUUGUAGCCACUUCUGUGCUAAAUGGUUGCCAGGGAGCAUCCUGUCCAGCCCUGCCCCUCUGCGCUCCAGCCAUCCAUCUUUCUCUUUUUCAUUUGUUAGUUUUGUAGUUACUUAUACAUCUAAAAAAGAGUAAAAGUAAAACCCACUAGAGGAUUAUGAGAAUUUUAGAAAAACCAUCUAAAGCAAAAUAGUGCAGAGGAAGGAAAAGUUAAAUGAAAUGUUGCUUCCUCUGUGUGUAGAAGGUGCGCUAGAGGCUCUCCAGACACCUGACAAAAUCUUCCUAACAAAAGGCGGUGGGCUCUUAGCCACCCAGUUGUCUAGGCUGGGGUUGAAUUUGCAGAAUUAGUAACCAGUUGCUGUUUGCUUUGCUUUGUUUCUUUUAGCUUUGUAACAAUUGCAUCCCACCACUGCAGAACUCACUGUUUUACAGCUGCUAGAGACUUAGGCUGUUUUCUAGCUUUAUUUAAACUAGGAACAGGUAGGCUCACCAGAUGACGCUCUUUAAGGGAAUGUAAUGUGUAACUUUCACUUAAAACAUUAGGUGUACAGUUCUCUCUUCCUGUAACACCAGUCUUUCCAUAUUAAUGUGCUGAGAGUUUAACAUGAAAACCUUUUCCCCUCACCAGAUAAAGUGUUUCACUUGCCCAGAAUCUAGGAGGAUGUUUUUAUUGGUGUUUAGAGGAAUGAAUGGUAUUGGGGGUGGAGGGGUGAAUAUAUUUGUUUCUAUGAUCUUGUAUAUUUAUUAAUUUUGUGCAAUAACACAUGUUAAACUAUUAUAAUUUUUGCAUAUUUUUGGAACAUCAUUAUGUUUCUAUUUCAGGUGGUGUAGAAUCAGAGCUGGAAGGCAGGCAGCUCAUGGAUCAUCUAGUCCAGUGUUUGUGAAACUUCGCAGAUGAUAAGACUCACUUGGAUCACUUAUUAAGAAUUAGUCCCUAAGCCUCACUCAAAGACCUCCUGAACCAGAAUUUCUGGGGAAGGGGAUUUGGGAUCCCAUAUUGUUAAUAGUUACUGUGAGGUUAAUUCUUACAAUUAGAACUCAAACAAGAAACCACAAAUCCUACCAACACUGAAAAGGAGAGACAAUAAGAAGCAUUCUUUCUUUCAACAUCCCAUCACUGACAAUUCCAGAAUGUCUACACGGAGGAGUUCUAGGGGUGGCAUGCUGUGGAGGGGGGAGCUAGGGCACUAAUUACAAGUCCCCUCUGUAGAUGAUGUGUUAGACUGGGUUAGGGCUUGCUGGAGGUGAUGGGGGCUAACUCUCCCCUUAUUUUACAUCAGGGCUACCAUUGGUCAUAGAUGCUGCUGCACUGAUGGUGAUACCCUCAUUUCUCCAAAGCUAACCUCCUCUUGCUGUCAGACCUAGGUGGGGAAUUCACAUCCUGUGGGGAGAACACCACCUGCUAACAUAAAGGUUAAGAAGAAUAUACUCUUCCUGGAUCUACUUUGGACAAGUAACUUAGCCUCUUUAAGCCUCAGUUUUUUUCUGUGGUGAAAUGGAUGUUUUCUAACUCAUAGGGUACUUAGUAAGGAUUAAUGUGAUAAUAUCUAUGAAAAUACUUCUAGUAGUACCUGGUGCUUAGUGCUCAGUGAACUAUUAUUUUCAUGUAAUGAUUCUAUAGACUCUUCGUUGUUCUUGGUCUUUCUCUAGACUGGAGAUUGCAAAUCAAGAGAGACACCUUGGGCGGUGCGCGCUCGUAGAUGUUACGGAUGUUGCAAUCUUGAAAGUGGCUAAUUAUUGUAGGUGUUUUUUUUUUUUUUUUCUUUUCUUUUUUAUUGGGAUUGAAUUCUAGGCUUUUCUAGUGGUUGCUGUUACUUGACAAGAUGACCAUAUUUUUAAGGAUAACAGGGCAAUUGAUUACAUGUUCUGUCCUCCUUAGAGUAAGAAUACUGGAUUUAAAAAAAUCAUUCUUCUUAACUGUAAGUAACUGAAAAAACACAGUUUAAAAGAAAUAGAACAAGUGCUCAUGGAUUUUAGAAGAUCCUGAAUAACCAAAGUUUGAAGACUAAAGAAGGAUCUCAGAUUAUUCUGAUAAAAUAUUUUAACAUUGAUUACAUCAAAGCAUUAAAAAUGGUCAUGUCCAAUAUACAAGUUUUUGUUGCAUAAAGCAACGUAGAGUUGUAAUACUUUUGGAAGGCAACUGGGAGUCAUAAAAAUGGCCUACAUUUUGGUUUAGUAAUUUUUUUUCCCCCCUGGAAAUCUUAAUUCAGUGAUACAAUUCAAGAGAAGAAAAGAGCUAUGUUGGCUUUUUAUGUUGUAUAUAUGUUGCAGUAAUAUCUAUAAAUAGUGAAAAAUUGGAGAUAAAUAAAUACAUCCAGUACUUCAAGGCAGGGCAUCGAGGGGAAGGAGUUAAUGAAAUUAAAAGUGUCAACUACCAUUUAAUGAUAAUUUUAAAGGUCAUAUAGCAAUACGGGAAAAUUUAUACUGAUUAUUUUGCGUAGAUUAUAGAUGAGUAAAAAUAUACAUGUAUACAGACUGAAAGGGAAUACCUUCUCAAGUGUUAAUAGUUGAUGUGUUAGGAUAGCCAAUCUUUGGAAAAUUCCUUUGUUAACUUUGUACAAUAACGUACCUGGAAAAAAUUCAAAUCUGCUGAGAACAUUAUGAGUCCUGGUCUUAGGAAAACUAACCUUUGCUCAUAUUAAGGAACUCAUAUUAUUCUGUUUCUCCUUAGGGACAUUUUACUGCUGCAACAAAUGGUUCUUUUUAAAUUAAAAAAAAAAAAAUGGAGGCAUAAUUCACAUACUAUAAAAUUCACCCUUUUAAAGUGUACAAUUUGGUGGUUUUAGUGUAUUCACUAGACUGUACAGCCUUUGCUACUAUCUACCUUCCAGAACAUUUUCUUCUCCAAAAAGAAAUCCUAUACUCAUUAGUAGUCACUCUCUAUUUCCCACUCCCCACAGUCUCUGGAAACCAUCAAUCUACUUUGUCUCUAUGGAUUUGCCUAUUCUGGACAUUUCAUAUAAAUGAAAUCAUACAUAGUGUGGCCUUUUGUGUCUAGCUUCUUUUACUUAGUGUAAUAUUUUCAAGGUUUAUCCAUGUACAUCCAUGUAUCAUGUAUUGGAUAUUUUGUUCAUUUUCAUGGUCAAAUAAUACUCCAUUUUAUGGGUAUACCACAUUUUGUUUAUCCAUUCAUCAGUAGAUAGACGUUUAGGCUGUUUCUAGUUUUUGGUCAUUAUAAAUAAUGCUGCUGUGAACAUUGGUACACAUGUUUUUGUGUGGACGAUAUAACUUUUCAGUUCUCUUGGGUAGAUACCUAGGAGUAGGAUUGCUGCUGGGCCGUAUUGUUAGUCUGUUUUUAACUCUUUGAGAAACUGCCAGAUUGUUUUCCAAAGUGACUACAUCAUUUAACAUUCCUAUCAAUAAUGUAUGAGAAUUACAAUUUCUCCAUACCCUUGCCAACUCUUGUUAUUGUUUGUUUGGUUGGUUUUGUCCUUUUAAAUUAUAGCCAUCCCAGUAGGUGUGAAGUAGUAUUCAUUGUGGUUUUGAUUUGUAUUUCCCUAAAUGGCUAAUGAUGUUGAACAUCACUUCAUGUGCUUUUUGGCCAUUUGUAUAUCUUCUUCAGAGAAAAGUCUAUUCAGAUUUUUUUUUGCCCACUUUUAAUUGGAUUUUGUCUUUUUAUUAUUGAAUUGUAGGAAUUCUUGAAGUAUUCUAGAUACUAGUCACUUAUCAGCUAUAUAAUUUUCAAACAUUUUCUCACAUUCUGUGAGUUAUCUUUUUACUUUCUUGGUAGUAACCUUUGAAGCAAAUAAGUUUUUAAUUUUGAUGUAGUCCAGUUUCUCUCUCUCUCUUUUUUUUCCCUUUGUCACUUUGUUUUUAUUGUCAUAUCUAAGAAGGCCUUGCCAAAUCCCAGAUCAGAAAGAUUUAUGCCUAUGUUAUCUUCUAAGACUUUCAUGGUUUUAACUUUUACAUUUAGGCCUUUAAUCCAUUUUGAGUUAAUUUUUGUAUAUGGUGUGAGGUAGGGGUUCCAACAGCAUCCUUUUGCAUGUGAAUAUCUAAUUAUUCCAGCACUAUUUGUUGAAAAGACUAUUUCCCUAUUGGAUUGUCUUGGCAUCCUUGUCACAAGUUAUUUGACUGUAAACAUGAGGGUUUAUUUCUGACUCUAAACCUGUUUCCACUGAUUUAUAUGUCUUCUUAUGUUAGUAACACACUUUUUUGGUUCUUGUAGCUUUGUAGGUAAGUUUUGAAAUUGAAAAGUAUGAAUUCUCCAACUUUGCUCUUCUUUUUCAUGAUGGUUUUGGUUGUCAGAAUCCCUUGCAUUUCCAUAUGAAUUUUUAAUGGUUCUUGUCCAUUUCUACAAAAAAGGCAGUUGGAAUUUCGAUAGAGAUUGCAUUGAAUCUAUAGAACAAUUUGGGGGGUAUUGUAAUUUUAGCAAUAUUAAAUCUUCCAUCCCAUGAAUAUGGGAUAUCUUUCUAUUUAUUUAGGUCUUCUUUAGUUUCCUUCAAAAGUGUUUCAUAUUUUUCAGUGUAUUUGCAAUCUUUUUGUUAAAUAAAAUACUUUGAGAUAAAUUUAUUUUUUGAUGCUAUUGUAAAUGGAAUUGUUUUAUUAGUUUCUAGAUUGUUCACAGGUAGUAUAUAGAAAUAUAAUGUAUUUUUGUAUAUUGAUCUUGUAUCCUGCAACCUUGCUGAACUCUUAGAAAACAAAUGGUCUUUUAAAUAGAAAAUUGCUUUUCAAAAGCAUGUGAAUUUAGGGGGGUUACCUUAUGUUUGUUUCAUUUGAUUGUAGUGGAGUUUAUUUUUUCUUUAAAAAAUAUUAGGCAUUUUUACUUGCCACUUUCAUAUAUAUAGAAUGAAGCACCCAGUACUGAUUAUUAGCAUUGUCAUUCUUUGGGAAAUUUGAUAGGAAAGAAUAAAAUUUCUAUCUCAGAUUAGAUAUAGGAGACUGUAUGAAAUGUGUCAAAGAGACCAAAUUAUAGCUAGCUGGAGCUUAGGAGUUUAAAAGCUAAUCUGUUUCUUUCUAAUAGUCGGAGUGGCUUUGUAUCAAACUUGGGAUUUGGGCUAGGAGAUGAGCACAGAAAAGGUUGUGUUUGCUUAAUAUCUAAAUGGUUUUGCAGUGCCUUUCUUCUCUAGGCCAUUUUACCCAGGGUUUUCUUAGGGUCAUUUUUACAGAGACUGGAAAAAACACUGACUUUUAGUUACUCUGCAUUUCAUUUUGCCAUUGUCAGUAUAAUCCUUGUGGUUUUUGGGUACCAGGUAACCAGGAGAGACAAAAUGAAAGUCUCUGCUUGCUCUCUCUCUCUCUCUUUUUUUUUCUUGGUGCAGGGGUGGAGGGACUGGUAAUCUGAGAGGGAGAAUGUUUUCCCAUGCUAGCAAAGACAGACUGAGGGCAUCAUCUGAUCUUUAUGGAAGUGUGCAAAGCCUCAGUUUUUCCAUUUGCCCAUCUGCAAUCAUAAAAACAAUGUGCUGACUCAGCUUGGAGCCUCUGCAGAAUGGCAUUUGGGGCUUAGGCAGUCCUGAGAAUCAUGCAAGAGAUUGAAAAUAUUUGAGCAGGUUUUUAGAGGUAACAUUAAAAACAGCUAGAAAAGACAACAUACCCUCUCAUCUCCUUCAAGAUUUGUUUCCUUUAGUCUUUAGUGUACCACCUUGAUUUAAGGCAUGGAAGGAAUAAUUUGGUCUCUGUAGAGUUGAUUGUGGAGCAAAGAUUUUUUUCUUGCUCCAGUGGUUAUACUUUAGGGGCAUGGGAUUGUUUGGGGUGGGUGUGUGGAGGUGGUGGUGAAAGUCUGCUGAAAGCAAGUAAUUGGGGAAAAUGCUCUUAUUAUGUUGUAUUGACCAUCUGCUUACGUUUUUUUCCUUUAAAAUUUUAAUUUCCUUAUUCCUAUGUACAUAUAUUUGCCUGCAAAGCCUAGAAGAAUGUUUACCAAAAUGUUAACUGACAAUGACUACCUCCUGACGGUGGGUUUUAGUGGAGGAAGUAUGUUUUCCUAUGUUGCUGCAAGUUUUUUUAAGUAUGUAUUUUAUAAUGUUUGAGGGGGAAAUGAAAUCCAUUCAAAUGUUAUUAAAGUGUAAAUUUUGUAACACUGAUCUAGGUAUUUAGGUGAACUUCAGUGUAUUUAGGUGAAAUUCAUCCUUUUUUCUUAGGAAAUAUGGACCAUUUUGUCAUAAUGCAGCCAUACUGUCAUUUGUACCAUUUUCUCCCCCUCAUUGGAAUCCUUAGUGUUUGGGAUGAAAGAUGAAUAAGAUUUUAUAACCCGUAAGAUGUGUAUGUGUACAUGUGUAUGUGUGCACACAUACACAUGUACAAUAGCUUAUUAAAGUUAAUUUAAUUUUGUAUGUGAAAAAAAGGAAUUUAGGUUUUUGAGUUACAUUGGUUAUCAUUUGACAAAAUCUAGUUUAGAUUUGUAUCUGGACUGCCUGGAAUGAAGCUGUUUGAUACUUAUUUGGUUGCCCUUAUUAAAUAAAAAACUAGUGAAGUAAUUGAGUUUCACCUAGGUUUGUACUUUCAGCAUAAAGCUAUAAUCCCAAGAUAACCUCUCAUUUGGGGACACUGAGAUUCUAGAAACUGAUGCUUCCUUUCAUCUAUAGAAAUCAUCACUGUAAAACCAGUAAUAAUUAUUUUUAAAAGAGGACAAAAGAAUAAAAGAAAUGUUCUGGAACCACACAUGCUUGAAGCUCAGUAGUUUCCAGACCAUCUUAUACACUUGCUACAAUAAAAAGACAUUUUAACUUUGA
Camelus dromedarius (Arabian camel) is the source of this 9127-nucleotide long non-coding RNA. RefSeq lists it as uncharacterized. The record is from RefSeq and is a predicted model, not a curated record. Lineage: Eukaryota; Metazoa; Chordata; Mammalia; Artiodactyla; Camelidae. The transcript has 2 exons.